CUCCCUCCCAAAAGACCGAAACGCUCCGCCCGUAAUUUCUGCCGCCGACGCGGCCUACCGACGCCAUCUCCUCCCCCUCUCCUCUCCUCUCUCUUAGCCCGUGACCCCUCCCCCGCCGCCGCCGUCUCCCUUCGUCUCCCUCUCCUGUGCAGCCCCGUCGCGCCAUCCACCAUGCGCGCCCGUGAUCUGCUCCGCUCUCCCCUCCGCUGGCCGUCGCACGACUCCGGGUGGCGGCGGGAGGAGGAGACCUUGGCAGCAGGCAGACGCCUCCCUCCGCAUCUCCGCUCCGCUCUCUCCCCCUUAGAAGUUAGACCACCUCCACCGCCGUCGCACGCCGCAUCGCCUCUCCGAUCUCUCCCUGGCGGUUACGAAUCGAUCCCAGCCAGAGGCGACCAGGUCGGAACUCGGAAGCAGUGGCAGAUGGUGCUGGGCCUGCAAUGGCAAGUGUUCUCUAAUAAGAUCAUGGUGAUAUGGACCAAAGUUGGGGAGAUCAACACUUUGUCCGUUUCUAUGGCCGCAAACGCCGGCAACAGAAUAUGUGCAAAGAACCGGAAUCAAGCUGCAGGGAUAAAGCUCCAUCCUUAAGUGUGAUUGAGCAGGUACACUACUGAGGUUCUGGGGGUAAAGGUUAUGUUAUGUUAUAUUUCUUUCAAAAUUAAGUUUUUUGUGCUUCAUUUGUUUGGCUAAUAUAUUUUAGCAAUUUACAUGGUGCAGAUUUCUAUCUUCAGUACAUUCUCAGAUUGUGAUUUCACUAUAUACAUAUUGCAGAUCUGCCAAAUUGUUUACCACAGAGAUUGCUUUUGUGUUUUCCUAGCAUGUUUGUAUUGUAGGAAAACACGAUGUUGCUAACCGUGAGAAUUCCGCUUAACUCAGUCCCCUGUUUUGGUUAAGAAAAUUUGUGACCAAGAUCUUUGGCCAAGGUCAGUUUGGAUCCAGUUAUGCCUCUCUUAUCUUGAUUCUUGAACAAUAGAAGACUUUUAGUGAUGCAUAGUUAAGAAUUUCCGACUUGCUUUUAUAACCUAACACAUGUAUAUAAGCUUUUUAGGAAUAGUAGGAUAGCUGAUGCAAGUAUACAGGAGACUUAAAAAUCACUGGUUGUCACUGAAUUUUAACUAAACCUCAUAGAUCCUAGGGAGAAAAGGGUUAAUUGCAUAGACAUAUGCAGCAUUGGCAGUUGGGUUGCAUCUUCUUUGGCGGUUGGGGUAAGCUGGCCCCCAUCCUCUCUGUUCCACCCCCUACAAGUACAAAGAUCAAAACGGACUUGGUGAUGGUGAUUGUAUUGACCACCAAGCAGGUUCAUGGUAUUAGCCAAUUAAUUAUUGAAAUUGGAAAAAAGAAUUCAUGUGUAGUAUCAUUGGGCAUUAGGAAAUUCCUCCACCAUUACAGUUGUUGCUCGGAUGCAGUACUCCUUCCUGUGAUCCUGUCUUCCCCGCCUCAUUGUAAGUGGAUAAUUAAUGAGCAGGCUGUCAAUGUCAUAAAUAGGAUUUUCCCUUGCCAAUAAUAUUGGUGGAGAACAGUGGAAGGUGCAAAACUAAUGAGCAUGGGGAGAAGGUUUGACUAUAUCACCAACUGCAAGGAAGUGUGCUGGGAUGCAGCAUUCAGAUCCUUUUCUGCCCAUUGUCAAAUGGGAUGGCAAGCCAGUUGGUGAUGAAUGACAAAAAAUGCUUUUGCACUGUUUAACAUGCUUUGCGAAGGCAUGAGGACUGGUCCAGAUAGGGUUCUUGUUACUUAUGAUCAUACUUGAGCUAGACAAUGACUCCUGAAACUUUGGUAGGUCUUUUCUGUAUAAUUAUAUCCUUCCAUUUAGGUCAGAUUUGUCUCCGGUGAUUAAUAUAGUAUAAAAUAAUCAAAACGCUUCUCCUUGUAAUAUGAAGUUUGGUUUGUAUUAUUUGUAGGUAAUAAGUUUUGUUUGUAUUCCUAAGAUACAAAAGUUGUGAUUUUAUAUUUUGGAGGCUAUAUAAUUAGCAACAAUAUAAUAACUCUCUCCGUAGUUUUUUUCCUAAAUAUUAAAUUUAUCUUAUUAGAUACU
Oryza sativa Japonica Group (Japanese rice) is the source of this 2029-nucleotide non-coding RNA. The record is from RefSeq and is a predicted model, not a curated record. Lineage: Eukaryota; Viridiplantae; Streptophyta; Magnoliopsida; Poales; Poaceae.